RNAcentral lists this ribosomal RNA (567 nucleotides) under uncultured bacterium. RNAcentral describes it as "bacterial SSU rRNA". It matches the Rfam family "Bacterial small subunit ribosomal RNA", at positions 827 to 1394 of the family's 1533-position model. The record is from RNAcentral.
GGGGCAUGACCUCUUAGUAUCGAAGUUAACGCGAUAAGUUCUCCGCCUGGGGAGUACGGCCGCAAGGUUAAAACUCAAAGAAAUUGACGGGGGCCCGCACAAGCGGUGGAGCAUGUGGUUUAAUUCGAUGCAACGCGAAGAACCUUACCUACCUUUGAAUCCACAGAACCUAGCAGAGAUGUUGGGGUGCCUUCGGGAACUGUGAGACAGGUGCUGCAUGGCUGUCGUCAGCUCGUGUCGUGAGAUGUUGGGUUAAGUCCCGUAACGAGCGCAACCCUUGUCCUUAGUUGCCAUCAGGUUAUGCUGGGCACUUUAAGGAGACUGCCGGUGAUAAACCGGAGGAAGGUGGGGAUGACGUCAAGUCCUCAUGGCCCUUACAGGUAGGGCUACACACGUGCUACAAUGGUCGGUACAGAGGGAAGCCAACCCGCGAGGGGGAGCGAAUCUCAGAAAGCCGAUCGUAGUCCGGAUUGGAGUCUGCAACUCGACUCCAUGAAGUUGGAAUCGCUAGUAAUCGCGGAUCAGAAUGCCGCGGUGAAUACGUUCCCGGGCCUUGUACACACCGCC